This 440-nucleotide ribosomal RNA is filed under the name uncultured bacterium. RNAcentral describes it as "bacterial SSU rRNA". It matches the Rfam family "Bacterial small subunit ribosomal RNA", at positions 958 to 1398 of the family's 1533-position model. The record is from RNAcentral.
AACGCGAAGAACCUUACCUGGGCUCGAAGCGCAGUGGAAUCCGGUGGAAACAUCGGCGCCCCUUAAAAGGCUGCUGCGGAGGUGCUGCAUGGCUGUCGUCAGCUCGUGUCGUGAGAUGUUGGGUUAAGUCCCGCAACGAGCGCAACCCUUAUUACCAGUUGCCAUCAUUAAGUUGGGCACUCAGGUGAGACCGCCUCGGAUAACGGGGAGGAAGGCGGGGAUGACGUCAAGUCCUCAUGGCCUUUAUGUCCAGGGCUACACACGUGCUACAAUGGCCGGUACAAACCGUCGCAAACCCGUGAGGGGGAGCUAAUCGGAAAAAGCCGGCCUCAGUUCGGAUUGUAGUCUGCAACUCGACUACAUGAAGCUGGAAUCGCUAGUAAUCGCGGAUCAGAACGCCGCGGUGAAUACGUUCCCGGGCCUUGUACACACCGCGCAUA